CUAUUGAUGGAGUAGUUCCAUUUAUAAAGUUUUAUACAUCAGAAAGCUUUGAAUUUGACCAGGCUGUCCAUUAAUCAUCUCUGAAAAAGUGGCAUUUCAUUUUAGCUCUAUUUUACAGCAUUAAAAAGCUUAUGCAUCAGGUCGCUUCCCGAAACAUUGUUCUCUGCACAAUGGCGCUGGGCAGACAGCUCUUCAUCCACCCAGGUCAGAGUCACGUCUGAGAGUUUCUGCUACAUACCCGUGACAGCCCACCUCACCGACUGCUCACCCUGACAGACAGCCCACCUUCUCGGUCAGUUCACACUGCCAGUUCACACCAGCAGUUGUCCUUUGUAGAUGGCAUUAGAGUAUCAGGUCAGUGACAGUGGGAGCAGGUGCUGCCAUGAGAUCCAGGUAACUAAAGGCCCUUAUUUUUUUUUUUUUAAAAAAAUGCCAAAUGUGAGAUAAAAACCAAGGGUACGAGUCCACAGCAGCAAGCUGUGCCCACUCAGUUACGGAGACGUUAAGACAUGAUUCAAAUCCCUUUAACUCAAUCUGCACAGCCCUGAGGUCAUCCUGCAAAGUGCGUAUAAAAAAUACGAAGUUAGGGAGACAAAGUUUGACAUGGUGUCAUUAUGCAGGUCAAACUUGGAAGGUCUGUGGAGCAUCUCUUCUGACAGAAAAGCAUCAGGUCCUUUGUGUACACAUUGAUUUUAUUGUAACAAAGCAACUUGUACACGGCAACAUUUAAAAUGAGCAUCUUUUUCCUUCCAGUGAAAACCGAAAAAGAGUAAAAAAAGAGAAAAAAAAAAAAGAGAAAAAAAAGGAAAGAAAAAAACUAAAGAUGAAAGUUACAACAGAGAAUGCCAACUCCAAAUAAACCCCUACAGCGUCUGCUGGUUCUCCCGUGAGUGGCGGGCUCAAGUCUUCAUCAGGAGAGUUUUAUUUUAUUUAAGUGUCACCUUAAACGGCAAGGAUGUCUGUUAAACGUCACAAUGAAACAUGCCAAAGGAGAAGCCAUGUUGUCAGAUGCCCACAUACCCCCCCGACACCUCGAUCCCACCCUUGCUCACUGUCUAUCCCCCCCCUUUUUCUUUUUUUUUCCUUUUUAUUAAACAAGAGAAAGUAGACAGAUCCAUGUUGGUAAAUGCUAACUGUCUGUAUUCACAUAGAGACACAGUGUAAUCUCUGAGCCCAAUAUACAGAGAAAAGAAAAAGCUAGAAUUCUAUGCACUACUACACAGGGGCCUAGCACCCUCCAGCCUCCAGCAGAGCCAAGGGAACUGGAGGGCUUUUCUUUCUUCCCACAGAGCAUGGUGGUGGUGUUGAAUCCACAGUUUGAGACAAGGAUAAAAAUGAAUUUAGAACAGAAACGUGAAGAUUCUUUUCCUGUUGUAUUUUGCUCAAGAUAUUUUCCCCC
Molecule: long non-coding RNA, 1399 nt
Filed under: Rattus norvegicus (Norway rat)
Lineage: Eukaryota; Metazoa; Chordata; Mammalia; Rodentia; Muridae
Description: long non-coding RNA NONRATT019125
Source: RNAcentral